GACGAACGCUGGCGGCGUGCUUAACACAUGCAAGUCGAACGGAAAGGCCCUGCUUUUGUGGGGUGCUCGAGUGGCGAACGGGUGAGUAACACGUGAGUAACCUGCCCUUGACUUUGGGAUAACUUCAGGAAACUGGGGCUAAUACCGGAUAGGAGCUCCUGCUGCAUGGUGGGGGUUGGAAAGUUUCGGCGGUGGGGGAUGGACUCGCGGCUUAUCAGCUUGUUGGUGGGGUAGUGGCUUACCAAGGCUUUGACGGGUAGCCGGCCUGAGAGGGUGACCGGCCACAUUGGGACUGAGAUACGGACCAGACUCCUACGGGCGGCAGCAGUGGGGAAUCUUGCACAAUGGGCGGAAGCCUGAUGCAGCAACGCCGCGUGCGGGAUGACGGCCUUCGGGUUGUAAACCGCUUUCGCCUGUGACGAAGCGUGAGUGACGGUAAUGGGUCAAGAAGCACCGGCUAACUACGUG
Molecule: ribosomal RNA, 468 nt
Filed under: uncultured bacterium
Lineage: Bacteria
Description: partial 16S ribosomal RNA
Rfam family: Bacterial small subunit ribosomal RNA
Source: RNAcentral